UUCUCGCAUUUAAGGAAAGCGUGCCGAAUGAGAACAUUUAUAAAAGUGUAUUUACUUAGUCGAAAUAACAAGCAUACUCGGCACAAAGGUCGAUAUCAGAACCUUUCGUUAAGAAGUGUUUUUGUUUGAUAUCCGAAGUUUUUGUUAUACCAUUUCAUAAUAAAAACCAUUUCAUAAUAAAAACUUAACUUAACUUAGACUCUUAAACUAAAUACCGACUCACGCAAAUAUGCGGAAAAAGAUGGAAAAGAAUCGAUGAUGUCCCGGUAAACAUCGAUGUUGGCAUCAAUAUUUCUCCACCUAUACUCAUCACACCAUAGCAUUAUUCUAUCUGGCUCACGAUUAUGUUGGGCCAUUACCGAACACUAUAACCCAACACCUUAUACAUGCACACACAUAUAAGGAUGUAAUCUUGGCAGGGGACGCUAACUCACAUCACACGCAAUCGGGAUAUACAAACACUAACGAAAGGGGUGAGCUUGAAGCGUGAAAGCGCGGAGUUUCAAGCGAGAUUGCAAGAGAGAGGGACAAGAAAGGAAGGAAAUCAAUGGAAAUUUAACAAUAGGUAACCAUGUGAGUCUUGUUUGGAAAUAUUUAGUUCCUCGGCCUUAUAUGGAGGGGUACAUAAAAUUAUCAAGCGGAUAAGGCGACACUAUUCCGGCCUACAUAAGUGAUUGCGGAUAACGUUGUGCGUUGGUGUAGGAGGCAGCAAAGCAUUACAGCGUUAACUUCAGCAGACGGACUUCAUCGCCAAUCUUCUACAGACACAUUUUAAAAUCUAGAAAAGCAAUGGAGUCGCAGAUACAGAUUAGCAUGCCGACAAAUUGUAGUUCCCAAGCGGUUUCUGACGCACAAUAAGCUGACGAAAUUCCUGAGUUAUAAUAUUUCUGUGAUAUUGCGAAUGGACACGACCGACAAAAUUCUUCAAGAACAUCCACAUCGAUUUGAGGGCGCUUCCAAAAGUCUGCAACCCGCGUCACUGCCUUACGAUUAUCGACUGAUUUAAAAGAUGGCCUCUAUCUAUACCUCUAUCAAACAUGACUACGAAAAGCGUUCACACCCACUGGAUUUGUUUAUUAGGCUGACCACUUAUCAUAAAUCACCGAUUGCUAAUCCUGCCAAAUUGAAUAUGAAAAGAUUUUAGCAAGACCUUAUCACUCACAAUGAAAUGAACCGGGGAGAACAGGGAGGCUCUGAUGCGUAACUCUCAUAUAGUUUUGACUAAUCUCCCACGGUACUGUAGGACUGGCGUUCGACUUUUAAGGCAUACCUACCAGAUUAAGCUGCAAAAAAGCUUUUUGACAAAGCUCCCAAAAAAAUUUUCUAUCCGAUUACAAAAUACAUUCUCAUUAACCUAUUAUUUAAAACUAUCAGUUAAAACUAUCAGUUAAAACUAUCAGUCAAAACUAUCAGUUAAAACUAUCAGUUAAAACUACUUCUGCUGCCUAUGACACGAUGCCACAUAUUUUCAGCUCCAAGCCAUAGACUGGACCUCACCAAAUAAACAUACAUGGACGGCAGAAAAUUGUAUCCGUUGAGAGAGAGAUUAAAGACACCCACAAGUUGAAGAACUUGCAACCCAAGCGUUGGUUUCAUUACCUUCGCCAUCCGAGGAAAACACUGAAGGAGAGUAGAUUUUGCAACAAGUCUAGCAACCCAAAUAAAACAGAUUUAAACAUAGGAAAUGUGGAUAGUUAAACGAAAUUGGAGUUUUCUGAGCGCUUACUAUAGCACACAUAAUUGCUACCCCAUUACCCCGUUACCCUGUUAAAUGAGACUGAAUCUCUACAUCCUUUUUCAGACCAACAUUUGUCUUUACUGAUAUGAAUAUAAUCACCUUCGAAAUAAUGAAAUAUUUUUUUUUUAAUAUCACUGAACAUAUGUAUCACAACAAUCAUUAAAAAUUUUACAUUGUGUUACUAA
Drosophila biarmipes is the source of this 1923-nucleotide long non-coding RNA. RefSeq lists it as uncharacterized. The transcript is spliced from 5 exons. The record is from RefSeq and is a predicted model, not a curated record. NCBI's taxonomy places the organism in Eukaryota, Metazoa, Arthropoda, Insecta, Diptera, Drosophilidae.